AGAGCGUGCCUUUCAGGCAUCCUCUCCUAAAAACUUUUACGGCCGGUCGUUUCGAUCGGCCUUUCUUUUUGUCCCGA
Sphingomonas taxi is the source of this 77-nucleotide small RNA. It matches the Rfam family "Makes More Granules Regulator RNA (mmgR)". Rfam says of the family: SuhB later renamed mmgR (makes more granules regulator) was a putative non-coding RNA found multiple times in the Agrobacterium tumefaciens genome and related alpha-proteobacteria. Other non-coding RNAs uncovered in the same analysis include: speF, ybhL, metA, and serC. Several studies inSinorhizobium meliloti showed that suhB element is indeed a non-coding RNA:firstly it was detected on Northern blot and called Sm8RNA, secondly in an RNAseq study referred to as SmelC689. The record is from Rfam. NCBI's taxonomy places the organism in Bacteria, Pseudomonadati, Pseudomonadota, Alphaproteobacteria, Sphingomonadales, Sphingomonadaceae.